GCAAUGGGGGAAACCCUGACGCAGCAACGCCGCGUGGGUGAUGAAGCAUCUUGGUGUGUAAAGCCCUGUCGUUAGGGAAUAAAGUCGGUAGGUUAAGAGCUAAUCGAUUUGAAGGUACCUAAAGAGGAAGCCCCGGCUAACUCCGUG
This 147-nucleotide ribosomal RNA is filed under the name uncultured Acanthopleuribacterales bacterium. Its description in RNAcentral is "partial 16S ribosomal RNA". It matches the Rfam family "Bacterial small subunit ribosomal RNA", at positions 368 to 507 of the family's 1533-position model. Lineage: Bacteria; Pseudomonadati; Acidobacteriota; Holophagae; Acanthopleuribacterales. The record is from RNAcentral.